GUUUUCGGAUCGUAAACUCUGUUGUUAGGGAAGAAUAAGUACCGGAGUAACUGCCGGUACCUUGACGGUACCUAACCAGAAAGCCACGGCUAACUACGUGCCAGCAGCCGCGGUAAUACGUAGGUGGCAAGCGUUGUCCGGAAUUAUUGGGCGUAAAGCGCGCGCAGGCGGUCCUUUAAGUCUGAUGUGAAAGCCCACGGCUCAACCGUGGAGGGUCAUUGGAAACUGGGGGACUUGAGUGCAGAAGAGGAGAGUGGAAUUCCACGUGUAGCGGUGAAAUGCGUAGAGAUGUGGAGGAACACCAGUGGCGAAGGCGACUCUCUGGUCUGUAACUGACGCUGAGGCGCGAAAGCGUGGGGAGCGAACAGGAUUAGAUACCCUGGUAGUCCACGCCGUAAACGAUGAGUGCUAAGUGUUAGAGGGUUUCCGCCCUUUAGUGCUGCAGCUAACGCAUUAAGCACUCCGCCUGGGGAGUACGGCCGCAAGGCUGAAACUCAAAGGAAUUGACGGGGGCCCGCACAAGCGGUGGAGCAUGUGGUUUAAUUCGAAGCAACGCGAAGAACCUUACCAGGUCUUGACAUCUCCUGACAAUCCUAGAGAUAGGACGUUCCCCUUCGGGGGACAGGAUGACAGGUGGUGCAUGGUUGUCGUCAGCUCGUGUCGUGAGAUGUUGGGUUAAGUCCCGCAACGAGCGCAACCCUUGA
This 704-nucleotide ribosomal RNA is filed under the name uncultured Bacillus sp. RNAcentral describes it as "bacterial SSU rRNA". It matches the Rfam family "Bacterial small subunit ribosomal RNA", at positions 414 to 1108 of the family's 1533-position model. The record is from RNAcentral. Lineage: Bacteria; Bacillati; Bacillota; Bacilli; Caryophanales; Bacillaceae.